GGGGGGUCCCCGGGGAAACGGGGGGGUCCCCGAAACCGAGGGGGGGUCCCUGAAGCGAGGGGGGGUCCCUAAAGCAAGGGGGGCCCCCCCCAGGCUGACGCCGUCCCCCCCCCGCAGGUGGAGGUGGUGGAGGGGGUGCUGCAGUGCCCGGACUCGGGGCGCCAGUUCCCCAUCUCCAAGGGGAUCCCCAACAUGCUGCUGGGCGACGACGAGGGCUGAGCGGCGGCGGCGACACGCGUGUGCGGCGGUGACACGCGUGUGCGGCGGCGACACGCGUGUGCGGGGCAGUGGCGGGCGAGAACAGGCCGGCAGACACCUGUGCGGAGCGGCACACGCGUGUGCGGGGUGGCUGCACACACGGACGCCUACACAGGGCAGCCGCACGCGUGAACAGGUCAGCGGACACGUGUGUGGGUUGCCGCACGCGUGUGUGGGGCAGCGGUGUGUGCAAACGGGCAGUAAACAUGUAUGUGGGGUGCCACACGCGUGUGCAGUGCCCCCGCAUAGAAAAAGGGCGUUGAACACGUAUGUGGGAGGCCACACGCGUGUGCGGGAGGACCACGCAUGUAAAUGGGCCACUGAACACAUAGAUGCCACACACGUGUGCGGGGUGGCCACACGCGUGAAUAGGCUGCCGAACACGUGUAAACAGGCCGUUGAACACCCACGUGGGAUGCGACUCGCGUGUGUGGGAUGGCAGCGCACGUGGCAGGGCCGUGAAAUGCACACGUGUGAAGGGGCCAUCGAAUGCCGAUGUGGGACUGCACACGCGUGUGCGAGGCUGCCCCACGCAUGCGCGCAGCGUGUCGCACACGCGAACGGGCCGCGCGGCCCUGAAACACGCGUGUGCGUGGCCACACGCAUGUCCUUCCCCGCACGCGUCCCCCGCACGUGCGUGUCUGCCAACGC
RNAcentral lists this long non-coding RNA (909 nucleotides) under Dromaius novaehollandiae (emu). Its description in RNAcentral is "lncRNA (ENSDNVG00000008081.1)". The record is from RNAcentral. Lineage: Eukaryota; Metazoa; Chordata; Aves; Casuariiformes; Dromaiidae.